GUGAAGAUAUGCUUCCACCAACAAGACGUGGAGAGAGUGAUAUUCCCUCGGCUUUCACAGGCCUGCAGCCUCUGUCUCACUCUCUUGGAAGGCUGCCCUGAGAGCGCCACGGAGAGCACUAGGCCCACCUGCGGGAGGGUGAGAGGCCGCAUGAAGGGAACCUGAGGCACCCAGCCAGGACCUAGCACCCACAGCCAGGCAUGCUGGUGAGGCCCACUCAGUCCUUCCCAGCCAAUAGUCCAGCUCGAUGCAGCUGCAGGAGCGAGCCCAGGUGAGAGCAGCUGAGGAACCACCCACCCGCCGACCCACAGAAGUGCAAACAGCCAUAAACUGUGUUUAAGUCACUGAGUUUUGGGGUCAUUUGUGGUGCAGCAAAUGCAACGGAACCAGGCUGCUUUACUAAAGUCGCGAUGUCUUGAGGCCUUCCAGACCUUGCUCCACCUCCACCACCAGGUCUCCAGUCCUGAGCCACAUGCUGCCAUUUUUGUCUCAGAAGCACCCCUCUUCCAGGUGGAAGAUUGAAGGUCUGAAGAGUGGGAAGUCCCAGGAACAGGCAAUUCCAGGAAGAUAUGAGGAAAAUCAAGAAAGAGAAGGAAACUGAAGCUAGUGGGAAGUGCUUCAAGUUGGAGAUGAUGCUGAGAUGGCCAAAAAGUGAGAGGUGGAAAACAUUUGGAGUGAGUUAAGGAGAGAACGCGAGGCAAGGAAGUGAAGCUGAGUGAGUUGGGGAGUGGGGUGCAGGGGCCUUUGGCCACCCCAGGCUCUUUCUAUGUGAACAUUCUGAGACUGAUUCUGAUUUUUUUCCCCUCCCAAAUUGCUCUCUUUUCCUUUCUUCACCUACUUACUCCCUGGUCAUCCUUCCUUUGGGUCAGUGAAGUUGCUGAUUCUUUAGGGAACACUUCUCUGAUUGCUGAAGCUAAUAGUCUCUCCCUGCGGUUGCCGGUUGUUUCCAAUAGUUGACUAGUUUUCUUCCCCAGCACUUACGAGUACACAGCCAGUCACUCUGGUUGCUCACUGUCUUCCUUCUUCCUUGACUGUCAGCUCACAGGAAUGCAGGGCCCUUACUUGUUUUACUCACCACUGCAUCCCAAGGAUAUAGCAGAGUGCCUGGCACACGGUAGGUGCUGAAUAAAUAUUCGUUAAAUGAUUGAUUGGAGGAAAAAACCACCAUCCUCCAUGGUAAACCUUUACUUUACUUUUGCAUACUUCUAAAAGUAUAAUCUAGAGGUUCAGUGACUCCCGCAAAUAAACAGAAAAGGGCACAGAGGGUGGCGAUAGGGCCACUGAUAACAGGAGCUGGAAGUAGAAGACAUCUUUUUUCCGAAGUUGAAGACUUGUACUUCCAUAACCUUGGCAGAUUAGGAAAUGUCAAUUACCCUCCAAUCCAACCUCCUAUAUAGAGCCACACACUGGUUUCCUAGCCUUUUAUGUAUUGAAAAGAUGUUAUCCUAUAAAUUUUCUUCUUUUCCAAUGUGUUCUAUAAAUAUCCACUAAAAUACUUUAAUUGCAAGAAAGUUAGAUAUUUGAGGUUAUAUCCAUGUUUCAUUUCUGUGGAAAACAACACAGAAAAUGUUACCCAAGUAUAACUGGGCACCAUGGCUCCAAUAUUUUCUCAUUAUCAGCUCAAAUAAACACAACUUAGAAUAAAAAAGUCAUGUAAAGCAAUUCAAAUAUUUCACUUCAUCUGUCAAGGAAAUAUCAGGAGGGUGGUUGGGAGUACAUUCUUGAUGCACAGCAGGAAUCUUUUACACUUCUUUCUCCCCAUUUCUGCCCCUCUCGGUAUCCUCCACAGGGAGAGCAGCUGCUCCCUGAAACUCUCACUCUCUCUGCAUUUUUCCUUUCCAGUGCCUCAAAACUGCACACCACCUGGUACUUGGCAGUGCAGCACUUUGCUCAGGGGGAUGGGUCUCCAUCUCUCUGCCGUCCUGUUUUUCUUUUUUCCCGUCAAUUAUUCUUUGCCUUUUCCAUAGAUCAAGAAGAAGGUGAUGUGUACUCAUGUACAUUAAAAACUCCUGUCUCCAUUGCCUAUGAACAGCAGCAUCAAACCACUAUGCAGAAUUAGCAUGAAUUUAUAGCUAGAAUAGGAAAGUUCAAACUUGGAAACAACCAUCGUAGUUUACCAGUUGGGUUUUGAAGUUUUUUCUCUCAGAUCUGUUGCUUACUAGCAAUGUGAACUAGGUAGCAAAUUACCCUCUCUUGAAAUGUUAGCAGAUUCACUUGUGAAAUGAAGUUAGUGAUGAAGGCCAAGGUAGGGAUAGCCAUGCAGUUCUGUUUCUCCUUAUCUCAUCAUCUCACUUUCCCAGGGAGAUCUUUAAUCUUGGAAAUUAGCACUCUCUGGUCACGUGGUGAAAGUGGGUUGGAAGAAAGAUGCAUGCAAGGAGCAGUGCUUCUACCCCACCCAGUUAUCAUGAGCUUUGAGUGAGAGGGUUCAUGUAGAGUGUUUAGGAUGGUUUUUGACUCACAGUGAGAGCCCAUAAACGUGAGCUGUCUGUCUCCUCUGUCCCUCGUCCUUUUUACACCCCCUCACCCACUGCAUUUUCUUCUCCUCUGUCAUUGCAGAGGCAGUCAAGCGUAUUAGUUCACCCAUUCUUCCAUCAACUUUGAACUAGGGCUUAUAAUAUUCAUUUUGCAGUUGAAGACAUGGAGGAAGAAAGGAAAACGAGGAAAAGAGACAAAGAGACAAGAGGAAUGAAGUGCUCCUGUGAUCAGUUUUCCUCAUUUCAUUUUUUUCUUUGAGUUGAGAGGGUCAGCUCACUUUCUGCCUCCACUUUCCUUGAAAAUUCCAAUGAACAACCCUCUUCUAUAUUUUCAGGCUCAGAGUAUGCACCAAGUUAGAUGAGUCUUGAUCCUGAAGGAUUAACAUGAAACAAGCUGGCAAAUAGAAUAUAGAUUAAUGGGGUCCAACCAUACCAUUGAAUAUGAUUAAUGGAAUUGGGGAAUUUGGUUGAUGGAAUGAGAUCUCCCAAACCUUCUUACAUGUGGGAGAUGACUAAGUGAAUUAGUUUCCUAGGACUGCCAUGACUAAAUACUGUAAACUGGGUGGCUUAAACAACAGUACUUUAUUUUUCAGUUUUGGAUGCAGACAGCCCAAGACCAAGAUGCUGGAAGAAUCGGUUUCCUUUGCGGAUGCUCUCCUAGGUCUUUUUUUUUUUGGAAUCUUGCUAUUCGCCUGCCUCAGGCUCCCGAAUAGCUAGGAUUACAGGCACCUGCCAUCAUGCCUGGCUAAUUUUUGUAUUUUUGUAGAGACGGGGUUUCAUCAUGUUGGCCAUGCUGGUCUUGAACUCCUGAUCUCAGGUGAUUCGCCCACCUCGGCUUCCCAGAGUGUUGAGAUAACAGGCGUGAACCACCACGCCUGGCCUCUCCUAGGUUUUUAAAUGACUGCAUUCUUCCUGCCUCUUCACACAGUCACCCUUCUGUGCACAAGGAUCUGCUGUCUCUCUGUCUGUGUCCUAACCUCCUCUUCCUAUAAGGAUUCCAGUUGGAUUGGACUAGGGACCUCACGUAGGACCUCAUUUUAACAUAAUUACCUCUUUAAUACCCUGUCUCCAAAUACGCUCACCUUCUGAGGUACUGGGGGUUAGGGCCUCAAAAUAUGAAUUUGCGGGAAG
RNAcentral lists this long non-coding RNA (3605 nucleotides) under Homo sapiens (human). RNAcentral describes it as "HSALNT0338318". The record is from RNAcentral. Lineage: Eukaryota; Metazoa; Chordata; Mammalia; Primates; Hominidae.